RNAcentral lists this ribosomal RNA (502 nucleotides) under uncultured archaeon. RNAcentral's name for it is "bacterial SSU rRNA". It matches the Rfam family "Archaeal small subunit ribosomal RNA", at positions 377 to 879 of the family's 1478-position model. The record is from RNAcentral.
GACCUCGAGUGCCAGGUUACAAAUCUGGCUGUCGUGAUGCCUAAAAAGCAUUGCAUAGCAAGGGCCGGGCAAGACCGGUGCCAGCCGCCGCGGUAACACCGGCGGCUCGAGUGGUAACCGUUAUUAUUGGGUCUAAAGGGUCUGUAGCCGGCCGGAUAAGUCUCUUGGGAAAUCUGGCAGCUUAACUGUCAGGCUUUCAGGAGAUACUGUCUGGCUCGAGGCCGGGAGAGGUGAGAGGUACUUCAGGGGUAGGGGUGAAAUCUUGUAAUCCUUGAAGGACCACCAGUGGCGAAGGCGUCUCACCAGAACGGACCUGACGGCAAGGGACGAAAGCUAGGGGCACGAACCGGAUUAGAUACCCGGGUAGUCCUAGCCGUAAACGAUACUCGCUAGGUGUCGGCCACGGUGCGACCGUUGUCGGUGCCGUAGGGAAGCCGUGAAGCGAGCCACCUGGGAAGUACGGCCGCAAGGCUGAAACUUAAAGGAAUUGGCGGGGGAGCAC